RNAcentral lists this ribosomal RNA (327 nucleotides) under uncultured eukaryote. Its description in RNAcentral is "partial 18S ribosomal RNA". It matches the Rfam family "Eukaryotic small subunit ribosomal RNA", at positions 1470 to 1796 of the family's 1831-position model. The record is from RNAcentral.
CCCUUAGAUGUUCUGGGCCGCACGCGCGCUACACUGACGAAUGCAACGAGCUUAUAACCUUGGCCGAAAGGUCUGGGUAAUCUCCAAAUUUCGUCGUGAUGGGGAUAGAUUAUUGCAAUUAUUAAUCUUCAACGAGGAAUGCCUAGUAAGCGCAAGUCAUCAGCUUGCGUUGAUUACGUCCCUGCCCUUUGUACACACCGCCCGUCGCUCCUACCGAUUGAAUGGUCCGGUGAAGCGUUCGGACCGUGGCCUUUGGACGGUUCGCCGUCUGUUGGCUGCGGGAAGUUCGUUAAACCUUAUCAUUUAGAGGAAGGAGAAAUCGUAACA